RNAcentral lists this ribosomal RNA (501 nucleotides) under Vibrio campbellii. Its description in RNAcentral is "bacterial SSU rRNA". It matches the Rfam family "Bacterial small subunit ribosomal RNA", at positions 88 to 585 of the family's 1533-position model. Lineage: Bacteria; Pseudomonadati; Pseudomonadota; Gammaproteobacteria; Vibrionales; Vibrionaceae. The record is from RNAcentral.
GCGUCGAGCGGCGGACGGGUGAGUAAUGCCUAGGAAAUUGCCCUGAUGUGGGGGAUAACCAUUGGAAACGAUGGCUAAUACCGCAUGAUGCCUACGGGCCAAAGAGGGGGACCUUCGGGCCUCUCGCGUCAGGAUAUGCCUAGGUGGGAUUAGCUAGUUGGUGAGGUAAGGGCUCACCAAGGCGACGAUCCCUAGCUGGUCUGAGAGGAUGAUCAGCCACACUGGAACUGAGACACGGUCCAGACUCCUACGGGAGGCAGCAGUGGGGAAUAUUGCACAAUGGGCGCAAGCCUGAUGCAGCCAUGCCGCGUGUGUGAAGAAGGCCUUCGGGUUGUAAAGCACUUUCAGUCGUGAGGAAGGUGGUGUAGUUAAUAGCUGCAUUAUUUGACGUUAGCGACAGAAGAAGCACCGGCUAACUCCGUGCCAGCAGCCGCGGUAAUACGGAGGGUGCGAGCGUUAAUCGGAAUUACUGGGCGUAAAGCGCAUGCAGGUGGUUUGUUA